UUCGGUGACUUUAGCGGAGGGGCAACACCUCUUCCCAUCUCGAACAGAGAAGUUAAGACCUCCAGCGCCGAUGGUACUGCAUGGUUACAUGUGGGAGAGUAGGUCGUCGCCGAAU
This 115-nucleotide ribosomal RNA is filed under the name Candidatus Zymogenus saltonus. Lineage: Bacteria; Deltaproteobacteria; Candidatus Zymogeniales; Candidatus Zymogenaceae. The record is from RNAcentral.